This is a long non-coding RNA of Pan paniscus (pygmy chimpanzee), 628 nucleotides long. NCBI's taxonomy places the organism in Eukaryota, Metazoa, Chordata, Mammalia, Primates, Hominidae. The record is from Ensembl.
CAUCCAUGUUGAUUAAGGAAUCUUAGCUCUUAAAAGGUUCUACGAAUUACAUUUUUUCCACCCAAGCCUAUGAUCACUCAAUUGGCUGUGUAAGGUAGUUUGAUAGGAGCUCGCAUUAUUUUUCUGAUUCAAAGAGAGUCUUUUCAAGCGCUACUUAAUUCAGGAUGAGAGGUCAAUGAUUUCCCCGAGUCCAGAAAUGUCUCCUUUCAAUCCUGUGUAGCUGAAGGAAUCGCGACACCUUUCCCCGACAGUCUAGAUAAACUCUCUCCUGAUCCAUCUUCACAGUAUCUAAAACCAGGGAACAUGUUCUCCUCACAGAAUACAGACCCACAGGUCCUGACCAAGAAGGGACCUUGAAAGCAAACAGAGCUCCUGUCUUUAAUCCAAGAAAGUAAUAUUAUAUCUAUAUUAAAGACAAUGCAACUAAGAAACAACGCAUGUACGUGGCUUUAACAAGAUCCCAAUAACUCUCUUCAAACUCUGACUUGGUCGAUAUGAAUAGAGAGGAAGUCCAUGUCCACAAACUACAGGCAUUCAUUUAAGUAAAAGUCCACAGAAGCAUGUAUCUAUCUGCAGCACGAUUUAAGUCUCUUGAUUUGCAGAAUGGAAUUCUGAUAUGUUUUAUUAC